Molecule: ribosomal RNA, 253 nt
Filed under: uncultured bacterium
Lineage: Bacteria
Description: partial 16S ribosomal RNA
Rfam family: Bacterial small subunit ribosomal RNA
Source: RNAcentral
UACGGAGGGUGCAAACGUUGCUCGGAAUCAUUGGGCGUAAAGCGCACGUAGGCGGUUCGUUAUGUCGGAUGUGAAAACCUCGGGCUUAACCCGAGAAGUGGAUCCGAAACUGGCGGGCUUGAGUAAGGAAGAGGGUCUCGGAAUUCCCGGUGUAGAGGUGAAAUUCGUAGAUAUCGGGAGGAACACCAUUGGCGAAGGCGGAGACCUGGGCCGAUACUUACGCUGAGGUGCGAAAGCGUGUGGAGCAAACAGG